Molecule: ribosomal RNA, 258 nt
Filed under: uncultured bacterium
Lineage: Bacteria
Description: partial 16S ribosomal RNA
Source: RNAcentral
CUGCUGCCUUCCGUAGGAGUCUGGGCCGUAUCUCAGUCCCAAUGUGGCCGUUCAUCCUCUCAGACCGGCUACUGAUCGUCGACUUGGUGGGCCGUUACCCCGCCAACUAUCUAAUCAGACGCAAGCCCAUCUUUCAGCAAUAAAUCUUUGGUACCCCAGGGAUGCCCCCAAGGCACGUUAUGCGGUAUUAGCAGAAGUUUCCCUCUGUUGUCCCCCACUGGAAGGCAGGUUACUCACGCGUUACUCACCCGUUCGCCA